GGAGAAGUGUCCUGGUGGAGAAGUGUCCUGGUGGACAGGCGUCCUGCCGGAGAGGUGUCCUGCUGGAGAGGUGUCCCAGCACAGAGUUUCCAGAUCAGCCUCGAGGAUGAAAACGUCCUGCUCACCCAAUAUUGUGCAGCGUGUUUUGCAGUUGCCUGAAGAAGAAGCCAGGGCAAAGAAAAGUGCCCCAUUUCCUGCAGACAGCCUCUGCUGGACUUGAAACUGCCCAUCCUGGAGCUUCUUCCAAUGGAGUUGCAUCCUACAAAUAUGGAUGCUGUGAAGAGCCAUGGACCCCUCUCCUGAAGCCGCCUUGC
Apus apus (common swift) is the source of this 314-nucleotide long non-coding RNA. RefSeq lists it as uncharacterized. The transcript has 3 exons. Lineage: Eukaryota; Metazoa; Chordata; Aves; Apodiformes; Apodidae. The record is from RefSeq and is a predicted model, not a curated record.